GAUGAACGCUAGCGGCAGGCCUAACACAUGCAAGUCGAGGGGCAGCACAGAAACAGCAAUGUUUUGGUGGCGACCGGCGGACGGGUGCGUAACGCGUAUGCAACCUACCUUUAACAGGGGGAUAACGGAGAGAAAUUUCCACUAAUACCCCAUAACAUCGAUCAAGGCAUCUUGAUUGGUUGAAAACUCCGGUGGUUAAAGAUGGGCAUGCGUCGUAUUAGGUAGUUGGUGAGGUAAUGGCUCACCAAGCCUACGAUACAUAGGGGGACUGAGAGGUGAGCCCCCCACACUGGUACUGAGACACGGACCAGACUCCUACGGGAGGCAGCAGUGAGGAAUAUUGGUCAAUGGGGGCAACCCUGAACCAGCCAUGCCGCGUGCAGGAAGACGGCUCUAUGAGUUGUAAACUGCUUUUAAACAGGGAUAAAGCACAGUAUGUAUACUGUGUUGAAGGUACUGUAAGAAUAAGGAUCGGCUAACUCCGUGCCAGCCGCCGCGGUAA
Molecule: ribosomal RNA, 502 nt
Filed under: uncultured bacterium
Lineage: Bacteria
Description: partial 16S ribosomal RNA
Rfam family: Bacterial small subunit ribosomal RNA
Source: RNAcentral